RNAcentral lists this transfer RNA (76 nucleotides) under Limisphaera ngatamarikiensis. RNAcentral's name for it is "tRNA-Ala". It matches the Rfam family "tRNA". From Rfam's summary of the family: Transfer RNA (tRNA) molecules are approximately 80 nucleotides in length. Their secondary structure includes four short double-helical elements and three loops (D, anti-codon, and T loops). Further hydrogen bonds mediate the characteristic L-shaped molecular structure. tRNAs have two regions of fundamental functional importance: the anti-codon, which is responsible for specific mRNA codon recognition, and the 3' end, to which the tRNAs corresponding amino acid is attached (by aminoacyl-tRNA synthetases). tRNAs cope with the degeneracy of the genetic code in two manners: having more than one tRNA (with a specific anti-codon) for a particular amino acid; and 'wobble' base-pairing, i.e. permitting non-standard base-pairing at the 3rd anti-codon position. The record is from RNAcentral. Lineage: Bacteria; Pseudomonadati; Verrucomicrobiota; Verrucomicrobiia; Limisphaerales; Limisphaeraceae. RNAcentral also lists the same sequence under 2 other names.
GGGGCUGUAGCUCAGUUGGUAGAGCGGCAGCUUUGCAAGCUGUAGGUCGGGAGUUCGAGUCUCCUCAGCUCCACCA